GUCUGCCAUUACCCAAGUGGAAAUUAAUUGACUUGAAAUUGAACCAUUUACAUUUAUAAGAGGAUGCUUCCCGGCAACUGAACACAGAUAAAUAUAUACCAUAUCUCAGACUAAAAAGACAAUGGCUGCUGGUUCUGGUUUGAAUUGGUAAACAGCACCACUGUUUUAAGCGUCUAGGAAACCUUGCAUACGAUCUGCACAACCAUUAGAUGACAAUUCUGCACGUACAAAAAGUUUGAAAUGGUUGCUAAUAACUUCGGGGACGGGAUCAUCCAACUCCACUCGCCAAAGCUUCUAUCCUUCCUUCUGCUCUUGUUUCUGUUAAACCCUUCUGCAACUCCUUUAACCUUCAACUUCCCCAGCUUUUCCAAUGGCACCACCAACAUAUCCCUAGAAGGAGAUGCAUAUAUUGAUGGCAAAUUCAUCAAACUCACCAAAAAACCCGAAGAGCUUAAAGUGGCUGAGAACAUUGGUCGAGCAACCUACCACAAACCGUUCCUUCUCCAGGAAAAAGCCACCGGAAAACUGGCCGAUUUCACCACACAUUUUACUUUCAUCAUUGAUUCCGGCCACAGUGACGGGAUGGUGUUCUUCCUAGCCCCAAAUGGAUCUUUAGCCAACAUUGCAAUAGGGGGUGGUGGCAAACUUGGCCUCCCCGUUGAAGACUUGCCAGGAGGCAUGUCUAGAACUCAGUAUCCAUUUGUGGCAGUGGAGUUUGAUAUCUUCCAGAAUACACAGCCAAGCAUCCAGGAUCCCCCGAGCGAUCAUGUAGCAAUCGACAUCAACUCUCUCAAGUCUAAUAUUACCACGACUUGGAAUGGUGGUAUUGACAAAGCAAAACUAAACAGCGCUUGGGUUAGUUAUAACUCUAGCUCAAAAAAUCUCAGUGUUGCCUUUACCAGUUUUCUAAAUGGUACAAAUGGCACCCAAGUGGAGAUAAUCAGAUAUCUUUCUUAAAUGGUUGAUCUGAAACAAUACUUGCCAGAUUGGGUCAUUGUUGGAUUCUCUGCUGCAACGGGCAAUGACAUUGCUGUGCAUAGGAUCGUCUCGUGGAAUUUCACAUCAACAGCUCUGGUUGAUGAGACUACAAUGAACAACACACAAGUAUUUCCUCCGCCAAGCCCUAGUGCUAAUCCCAAGUCAGGAACUUCCAACAUACGACUCCCCAUUGGGUUGGGUGUUGGUGGAUGUAUUAUCUUGGCUGGUGGAUUGGCUUUGGUUUGGUUCAUGUUCAUUUUUCGGAAGAGAAAGGCAGUGGGGGAAAGUGAUGAGAAUCCUGUUGUCAACUGUUUAAUUGACGAUGAAUUUGAAAAGGGAACUGGCCCGAGGAAGUUUUCAUACAGGGACUUAGCUCGAGCAACGAAUAAUUUUCAUGAGGGGGAGAAGCUGGGAGAGGGAGGAUUUGGAGGGGUUUACAGAGGCUUUAUAAAAAACUUGAACUCAUAUGUUGCAAUUAAGAGGAUAUCCAAUGGAUCUAAGCAAGGUUUGAAGGAGUAUGCAUCAGAAGUAAGAAUUAUCAGUAGACUUAGGCAUCGGAAUUUGGUGCAACUCAUUGGUUGGUGCCAUGAAAAAAGAGAACUACUACUCGUCUACGAGUUCAUGCCCAACAGCAGUUUAGAUUCCCACCUAUUCAAAAUAAAUAGCUUGUUAAGUUGGCAAAUCAGAUACAAAAUAGCUCAAGGUUUGGCCUCCAGCUUAUUCUAUCUACACGAAGAAUGGGAACAAUGUGUGCUGCACAGGGAUAUCAAAUCCAGCAACGUUAUGUUGGAUUCAAAUUUCAAUGUGAAACUUGGUGAUUUUGGAUUAGCUCGACUUGUGGACCAUGGAAAACAGUCACCAACAACAAUUGUGGCUGGAACUAGAGGCUACAUGGCUCUGGAAUAUGUUUCUACAGGAAAGGCUAGCAAGGAAUCAGAUGUCUACAGCUUUGGAGUGGUUGCUUUGGAAAUAGCUUGUGGAAGAAAACCGAUCGAUCUCAAUUUAGAAAGUAGUGAAAUCGAAAUGGUGGAGUGGGUUUGGGAGCUUUAUGGAGAAGGGAAAGUUAUUCAAGCAGCCGAUCCAAAACUCUAUGGACAAUUUGAUGAGAAUCAAAUGGAGAGCUUGAUGACUGUUGGGUUGUGUUGUGCUCACCCAGAUUAUAGAUUCAGACCUUCAAUACAACAUGCGAUUCAAGUGCUUAACUUGGAAGUUCCAUUGCCUAUUCUCCCAUCAAAGAUGCCAGUUGCCACCUAUUUUGCACCUCCAACAUCACUUUCAAUGUUGUCCAAUCAAACUACUACUUCUGAAAGAGGUCAAACUGAGUCAGGCUGCUAUAGUUAUAGCACCAAUUCCUCACAACUCACUGCAUCUCCUACAACGCAGUUCUUGUCCAUCGACACUGAAGCACAGUUCUUGUCCACGGACACUGAAGAACAGUUCUUGUCCAUGGACACUGAAGAACAGUUCUUGUCCAUCGACACUGAAGCACAAGUCUUGUCCAUUGACGACACAGCAGCUUGAGCAAUAA
Molecule: RNA transcript, 2506 nt
Organism: Prunus dulcis (almond)
Lineage: Eukaryota; Viridiplantae; Streptophyta; Magnoliopsida; Rosales; Rosaceae
Gene name: L-type lectin-domain containing receptor kinase IX.1-like
Exons: 2
Source: RefSeq, a predicted model, not a curated record